This 440-nucleotide ribosomal RNA is filed under the name uncultured bacterium. RNAcentral's name for it is "partial 16S ribosomal RNA". It matches the Rfam family "Bacterial small subunit ribosomal RNA", at positions 338 to 795 of the family's 1533-position model. The record is from RNAcentral.
CCUACGGGUGGCAGCAGUCGGGAAUAUUGCGCAAUGGAGGAAACUCUGACGCAGUGACGCCGCGUAUAGGAAGAAGGUUUUCGGAUUGUAAACUAUUGUCGUUAGGGAAGAUAAACGACUGUACCUAAGGAGGAAGCCCCGGCUAACUAUGUGCCAGCAGCCGCGGUAAUACAUAGGGGGCAAGCGUUAUCCGGAAUUAUUGGGUGGACAGGGUGCGUAGGCGGAUUUUUAAGUCAGCGGUAAAAUGUCCGGGCUCAACCCGGGCCGGCCGUUGAAAUUGGGGAUCUUGAGUGGGCGAGAAGUAUGCGGAAUGCGUGGUGUAGCGGUGAAAUGCAUAGAUAUCACGCAGAACUCCGAUUGCGAAGGCAGCAUACCGGCGCCCGACUGACGCUGAGGCACGAAAGCGUGGGGAUCGAACAGGAUUAGAUACCCCAGUAGUC